This 391-nucleotide unclassified non-coding RNA is filed under the name soil metagenome. Its description in RNAcentral is "partial contains 5.8S ribosomal RNA, internal transcribed spacer 2, and large subunit ribosomal RNA". The stretch from base 1 to 122 matches the Rfam family "5.8S ribosomal RNA", at positions 35 to 154 of the family's 154-position model. The record is from RNAcentral.
GAUGAAGAACGUAGCGAAAUGCGAUACUUGGUGUGAAUUGCAGAAUCCCGUGAACCAUCGAGUCUUUGAACGCAAGUUGCGCCCGAAGCCACUAGGCCGAGGGCACGCCUGCCUGGGCGUCACACGCCGUUGCCCCCCCAUCUACUCCUUCGGGAUUGCGGGGGGGCGGAUGAUGGCCUCCCGUGCGCCUAGCCGCGCGGUUGGCAUAAAUACCAAGUCCUCGGCGACGCACGCCACGACAAUUGGUGGUUGCGAAACCUCGGUUGCCCGUCGUGUGCGUUCGUCGCGCAUCGAGGGCUCGAAAAAAUGCUCGGCUCCGGCUGGGCUUUCAACGCGACCCCAGGUCAGGCGGGGUUACCCGCUGAAUUUAAGCAUAUCAAUAAGCGGAGGA